AUUGGUUACCUCACUCAGGAUGAUGCCU
Molecule: non-coding RNA, 28 nt
Filed under: Mus musculus (house mouse)
Lineage: Eukaryota; Metazoa; Chordata; Mammalia; Rodentia; Muridae
Source: RNAcentral